Molecule: ribosomal RNA, 479 nt
Filed under: uncultured bacterium
Lineage: Bacteria
Description: partial 16S ribosomal RNA
Rfam family: Bacterial small subunit ribosomal RNA
Source: RNAcentral
GAUGAACGCUAGCGGGAGGCCUAACACAUGCAAGCCGAGCGGUAUUGUUUCUUCGGAAAUGAGAGAGCGGCGUACGGGUGCGUAACACGUGUGCAACCUGCCUUUAUCUGGGGGAUAGCCUUUCGAAAGGAAGAUUAAUACUCCAUAAUAUAUUGAACGGCAUCGUUUAAUAUUGAAAGCUCCGGCGGAUAGAGAUGGGCACGCGCAAGAUUAGCUAGUUGGUGAGGUAACGGCUCACCAAGGCGAUGAUCUUUAGGGGGCCUGAGAGGGUGAUCCACCACACUGGUACUGAGACACGGACCAGACUGCUACGGGAGGGAGCAGUGAGGAAGAUUGGUCAAUGGGUGCAAGCCUGAACCAGCCAUCCCGCGUGAAGGACGACUGCCCUAUGGGUUGUAAACUUCUUUUGUAUAGGGAUAAACCUACCCUCGAGAGGGUAGCUGAAGGUACUAUACGAAUAAGCACCGGCUAACUCCGUG